RNAcentral lists this ribosomal RNA (492 nucleotides) under uncultured bacterium. RNAcentral describes it as "bacterial SSU rRNA". It matches the Rfam family "Bacterial small subunit ribosomal RNA", at positions 56 to 504 of the family's 1533-position model. The record is from RNAcentral.
UGCAAGUCGAGCGCACUGGCCCAACUGAUAUGACGUGCUUGCACUGAUUUGACGAUGGAUUACCAGUGAGCGGCGGACGGGUGAGUAACACGUGGGCAACCUGCCCUAAAGUGGGGGAUAACAUUUGGAAACAGGUGCUAAUACCACAUAACUCCGAAAACCACAUGGUUUUCGGAUAAAAGAUGGUUUCGGCUAUCACUUUGGGAUGGGCCCGCGGUGCAUUAGCUAGUUGGUAAGGUAACGGCUUACCAAGGCAAUGAUGCAUAGCCGAGUUGAGAGACUGAUCGGCCACAAUGGAACUGAGACACGGUCCAUACUCCUACGGGAGGCAGCAGUAGGGAAUCUUCCACAAUGGGCGCAAGCCUGAUGGAGCAACACCGCGUGAGUGAAGAAGGGUUUCGGCUCGUAAAACUCUGUUGUUGAAGAAGAACGUGCAUGAGAGUAACUGUUCAUGCAGUGACGGUAUUCAACCAGAAAGUCACGGCUAACUAC